UAUGUAGGUGGCAAGCGUUGUCCGGAUUUACUGGGCGUAAAGAGCGCGCAGGCGGUCGUUCAAGUCGCGUGUGAAAGCCCCCGGCUCAACCGGGGAGGGUCGUCGGGGACGGCAUGGCUUGAGGGCGGUAGGGGCCGGUGGAAUCCCUGGUGUAGCGGUGAAAUGCGCAGAUAUCGGGAGGAACACCAAUGGCGAAGGCAGCUCGCUGGGACGUUACUGACGCUGAGACGCGAAAGCGUGGGGAGCAAACAGG
RNAcentral lists this ribosomal RNA (253 nucleotides) under uncultured bacterium. RNAcentral describes it as "partial 16S ribosomal RNA". It matches the Rfam family "Bacterial small subunit ribosomal RNA", at positions 524 to 776 of the family's 1533-position model. The record is from RNAcentral.